UCAUCUUGGGUAUAUAAUUAUCAAAUGAAUUGCGUAAAUGGGUCUCAGCCCCUCCAUAUAUUUCGCUCGUUGGCCACUGGUUCGUGAGAAAAAGAGAAGGAAGAAGGUUGAUUUGGCUGAAGCAUACCUCUAGCAUUUUGGUUCAUCAGAAGUUAAUUCCCAUCCUGCCUUUUAAAUUGAUCUUAUUUUCAAGCUAUGUCUCUGGACACUUGGCUACAAAGGCAAUUCUGGGAAUUUUUGGGUGUCCAGAGAAGUUUUUUGGAAGGAAGAGAAAUUAGAAGAGGUGCCUGAAAUUACCUUGAGUAUACCUGGAUAUUGAUAUUGAGGGACAUCACUUAGGUAGAAUUGUGAUUGUAUUAUAUGGCCAGGUUGUACCAAAAACUGUUGAGUUUGACAUACAGGCCAUUUCAUGUUGGUUUGUUUGUGACAAAUGAAAUGGCAGGAGAGCGGGGAAAUCUUCUUCUACUAUAGGCCAAAAGUUAACAAAGAGGAAGCUCAUAGCCCAGAUGAUGUUCUAGUGAAAAAGGUGCAAAGAAGAAGGGAUCAAAUUCUGGUGAAAUAGGUUCUAGUGGUAGUCAAAGUAAUGAAGGUGGGCAUGGUA
Prunus persica (peach) is the source of this 601-nucleotide long non-coding RNA. RefSeq lists it as uncharacterized. Lineage: Eukaryota; Viridiplantae; Streptophyta; Magnoliopsida; Rosales; Rosaceae. The transcript has 4 exons. The record is from RefSeq and is a predicted model, not a curated record.